CAGACAUGUAAAAAUCUGAACCGCCCGUGCUUUUCUGCUAUCCAGUUCUCGCAAAUGAAGAGGCUCGUUUACGGAGCCAAAGCAGAAGCUGCCAUGGCCUUUGGAUUUGGAUCUAUUUCAAAUGCUCUAAGAGGUACUGCUUUGUAUCAGAAGGCUGACUUGGAGAUAAAGAGAGCUGAUGGUAAUGUGGCUAUUAUUGCAGAACAAUUGUUUGAGAAUACAAAAUAUAAGUUUCCUAGUCAUUCAAGAAAUGUAUAUUCUAAGUAAAUGAACAUUGGGAUUUGUUUGUGGAAAUGUAAUAUUUGUGAAGUGUGGCUCAGGAUGCUGUGUUUUCUUUCAUUAACUAGCAUAAUGAAAUAAUAUUGGGUGUACU
Long non-coding RNA from Ipomoea nil (Japanese morning glory), 373 nucleotides. RefSeq lists it as uncharacterized. The transcript has 2 exons. Lineage: Eukaryota; Viridiplantae; Streptophyta; Magnoliopsida; Solanales; Convolvulaceae. The record is from RefSeq and is a predicted model, not a curated record.